CAAGUCAUACAUCAACAUGGGAACCUGAGAUUGGGCCAUAAAACCAACGAAAAAGAGGCAGUAGCAGAAAUGGUGUGUAGAGUGUUCAUAGACCUUCUCGAAUUCGUGGAAGAAUUUUACACAAUACAGCCCCGUUACCAAACAUCAGGUAACACCUAUGUUAUUAUCAAACCCAUCAAUUGAAGGACAACCAAAAACUAGGGAAAUAGAUAGUGCGGAACCGGAAAAGGUAGAGAGAACCACCACUGCACCCCAUCCGACAAUCAAUGCUACUAUCGACCCUGAAAUCCGUCAGAAGCACAAAGACAAAAUGCAACAAUUUCAAAAAUAUAUGGUCCUAGGAGUACUGAGAGAACGCAGCCCGGGCAUCCGUAGACUUACAAUAUGGGCUAAAACUAAACUGCAUCACUCCUUCAAGUGUCUCAUUAUCCGAGAUAACAACUACAUAGAGCUACAAUUCACAUAGGAGGAAGGCAUAAGACAAACCCUUAGUACCUAUUCCUACAGAGUAGAUAAUAGGGAACUAUGCUGCUACCCAUGGUCCCCAUAUUACAAAAAAGACGAACUAGCAUCACAUAAGCAACUUAAGACAGCGCUUUGAGCACAAGUGAAUAGUCUCCCCCACUCUCUCCGAACCAAAAUAUUCUUCACUCGAUAUUGCACCAAACAUUUAAGAUACUUCUGAUCGACGAUAGAGAAACAUAUAGAGCGAAACUAUCCGGACCAAGAGUAAGGAUCUUGACUGACAACACAGAGGACCUCCCUAGGUCAAUCUGGAUCAUGAGAAUGGACACGGAUACAGAAAAUGAGUAUAUGAUUGAAUACAAAGGAUUUAAUGAACAGUGCAACCGGUACCACUCCUAUGAACACAAUGUAGGCAAAUGCACUUUAGUCAGACAACUAGCGAGCGAAAGGAUUGCAGAACGGAAAAAGCAAAGGCAAAGAAAAUCUAUUCGCCACACAAACUCGUCAACAGAUCCCAAGGAACCUACAAAACAACAGAAGCAUAACAGAGUCAGUUCUAAGAAACAAAACUUCAUCUGGCAGCCUAAAGCUAAACUAGAAGCCAGAGAAGAAAGCAAUCCAGUAGCAGCCGGGCACAUUGGUUACUCAACGACCCAAAUACACUAAUUUCUGGGAAGCCCUAGGCUAGAAUUCCCCGACUGAAACAGAGUGCUCAGCUGCUAUCGUCUCCAUAUUCCUAAGGACAAGGACCGAUAAACUAUAUGAGACUCCAAUCAUCCACCAAGCUACAAAAAGAGGCCACCCACCCAUCUCGUUCUACCUCACACAACAACAAAAUCUUACAAGAUGGACGACAGAACAAGCACGCCUCCAUCUGACAAAUAAAAUAAUGCGCCACCUACGGUAGAAAACCAUACUAAAAAUUCAACACAUCAAUUCCAUUCGAAGCUGGACAGACGCAACAUGGAAGUACAAGUGGACAAGCCCUUCAGACAAUACAACAUUAGGUAUCAUCACCCCGCUUAUCACAUAUGAUGAAAAUGUAUGCACACUUAAGGCAGCCCAUUGCUACAAGUGGCAACUUUUCCGGACACAGAUCCAACAUCUUAUCUCCCAAGACACCCAUAUAGAAGCACAACAAUAGGAAAUAGGAAAACAAGGACUGCAUUUCUUUUUUGGAUGUAAUCCACCAAAGGUACCGACAUCGGAACCCAUAACACAGAUCAGACUAGAAUCCAACAUACAAUAAGAGAGAGGGUUCCCCAGAAGGGAAGCGGAGGGGGAGUCAUGUACUCCAUCAAUAGGAUACUAGGGCAAUGAAUGAACCCAUUUGCAUUGCAACUCUGAAUGUCCAAAGCCUGGGAUGAGACUUCGCAGGUAUCAAAAAAAGAAGAAAAAUUAGAGAGUUCUUUUUGAAAUCAAAACCAAGGCCAGACAUCCUCUUACUCCAAGAGCACAAGCUCUCGCUUGAGGAAUGCAAAUCCAAGACACAUCAAAUCGACUUAAUGAAUAACACAACAUUAUGGAGUGAGGCAUCUUACUCAGCCAACCAAGCCUCAUACCAAGGAAGCAUUGGCAUGCUACUAUCUAAUAGAAUCACCCUCAUUGGCAUGUGAAUAUGGCAUAAUAACUCCUGGAAGAGCACAAUACGCUACAUUCAAGUGGACCCAAGAUCUCAAAAUAUGAGUGAUCAACAUAUACGAAUAUAACAAAACAGGAUCCCGAGCUAGUCUAUGGAACCAAAUGCGGAGAUUUCAGCUACCCCCAGCACAUUGCAUUCUAGCAAAAGACUUCAAUGCCAUUGAAUACCUUGAGGACAAACAAGGUGGAACCCCAACCACAGGAAGAGGACAACAAGAAAUAAUGGCCUGGACCAACCUACUCCUACACCAAGUGGUUACAGAUUGCUUCUCCUUGAAUAACUUUUGAAAGAUAAAUAAGACGUAUUCAUGAGACAAUGGCAAAAUUCCUCCCUGGAACAUUUGUACUUGGAUUGAUAGGAUUUACCUACCACCAAAACUGAACAAGCUAGGAGGAAUUAUUAGAAUAUGGAGCUCCAUGCCCCACAUAUCAGAUCACACCCCGGUAUUCACGAAAAUCGUACCCAACCUUCCAUGGAUCCCAAAAACCAGCCGAUUCAAUACUCUGCUCCUAAAGGAGAAGGAAAGCACACAACUGC
Molecule: long non-coding RNA, 2644 nt
Filed under: Physcomitrium patens
Lineage: Eukaryota; Viridiplantae; Streptophyta; Bryopsida; Funariales; Funariaceae
Description: long non-coding RNA (PPAT_LNC014713)
Source: RNAcentral